This 858-nucleotide long non-coding RNA is filed under the name Malus domestica (apple). RNAcentral describes it as "long non-coding RNA (MDOM_LNC007947)". The record is from RNAcentral. Lineage: Eukaryota; Viridiplantae; Streptophyta; Magnoliopsida; Rosales; Rosaceae.
AGCUUGGAAUAUCAGGUAGGGGACUCACACCCUGGUUAGUGGUUUUCGAUAUGUAUUAUGUAUGUAAAUAUGGAUGUGUGCAAGCUAUGCAUUGGAUUUUGUUGUUGUUAGAACUGCAUGUUAGGAAAAGGAGUUUUAUUUUUCUAGCAUGUGAUUUAUGUUAUUCUAAAUUGUAAUGACGACCUGAGAGUGAAGGGGGCUGUGUGACUAUCCUGGGCUUCGAUCCCCUAAACCUCUGGAGGGUCCUAUACAAACGAACUCGUAUCAUUAACCGUAAGGGGAAAGGGUACUUGUGUCUAUGUGGUAUAGGUUGUAAGUGGACACUCUCACUACCCUACCUCGUGUUGAUAUUACUUGAGAAUUUAUUUUAGGUAUGGUAGUUGGCCGCGUGUUCGGUUGUCAGGACAAGAAGAAUGCAGGGAUCCCACUAUAGUUAAUUUUGAGCAUGAAAUAAUUUUAACUCAUGCCAAAACAUUUUGUUGUGCAAAUUAUUUCCUUUAUACAUAGUACAAGGGUAUAUCUAUUUUCAAACCUAGCUAGGGUGCCUCCCGAGGGGGGGCAAAUGAUUGUAUGUGAUGCUCACCCCUACAUUUUCAGGUGUUGUGCGAGAAAUAAUAGAAGAGUUGGACUAAGGUGUGGGGUUGUAGCUUGUAAACCUCAAAGCUUCGAGUCAGAAAAUUAGCUUUUGAAAUGUAAAUAUUGAUUUUCUGGUUUCAAUGAAAACUGUAUAUGUAUAGCCUCUUUUGCUUCUGUAUAUAUUUAUCUAAACCUAUCACUCCUUUGGCUUUUGUAAACUGAACUUUUGGGAUUUCUGUUGUAAAAAGGUUGCUUAUGAAAUGGUUUGAAUGUUAUGGAUUU